CCUACGGGUGGCUGCAGUGGGGAAUAUUGGACAAUGGGCGAAAGCCUGAUCCAGCCAUGCCGCGUGUGUGAAGAAGGCCUUCGGGUUGUAAAGCACUUUCAGUGGGGAAGAAAGCCUUGGGGCUAAUACCCUCGAGGAAGGACAUCACCCACAGAAGAAGCACCGGCUAACUCCGUGCCAGCAGCCGCGGUAAUACGGAGGGUGCGAGCGUUAAUCGGAAUUACUGGGCGUAAAGCGCGCGUAGGCGGUCUGAUAAGCCGGUUGUGAAAGCCCCGGGCUCAACCUGGGAACGGCAUCCGGAACUGUCAGGCUAGAGUGCAGGAGAGGAAGGUAGAAUUCCCGGUGUAGCGGUGAAAUGCGUAGAGAUCGGGAGGAAUACCAGUGGCGAAGGCGGCCUUCUGGACUGACACUGACGCUGAGGUGCGAAAGCGUGGGUAGCAAACAGGAUUAGAUCCCCUGGUAGUC
This 465-nucleotide ribosomal RNA is filed under the name Vreelandella stevensii. Its description in RNAcentral is "partial 16S ribosomal RNA". It matches the Rfam family "Bacterial small subunit ribosomal RNA", at positions 338 to 795 of the family's 1533-position model. Lineage: Bacteria; Pseudomonadati; Pseudomonadota; Gammaproteobacteria; Oceanospirillales; Halomonadaceae. The record is from RNAcentral.